Molecule: long non-coding RNA, 670 nt
Organism: Rhagoletis pomonella (apple maggot)
Lineage: Eukaryota; Metazoa; Arthropoda; Insecta; Diptera; Tephritidae
Exons: 3
Source: RefSeq, a predicted model, not a curated record
GCUGCGGGAGUAACUAAAAGAAGCACAUAAAUAAAGUUCUACAUAAAUGAACUUAUGAGUACUACAAGUGAGUGUAGUAUGCAAAAAAUGUAUGCUUAGAAACGCUCAUGUAGUAUAUGCACUUACAAAAAUAUUAUCGUCAAAACAAACUAAUCAACCACAAUUAUCGCUAGUGGCAAUCUCUAGACCUUUCCGUCACAUAUAUAUUGACACAAACAUCCAUCAAUUGGUAUUCUUAUCAGGGACUUGAGAGAUUUAACUGCAUUGAGCUACAUGAAUAAUGCGUCUCUUAGCGUUAUCAUUGCGCUGAUACCCAAACAGGAACCAGGAAUUCCCAAGAGGCGAGAAAUAACUAUGACGUAUUGAGCUCUUGUUGUUGUUGCAGCAUUGCCAAGACAUUAAACAUUCCAAUAUGUGCGUGGCCCGCGAUGUUAUCCAGUUGAACAUACAGGAAAACUGCAGUUUGAAUAUAUUUAUACUCUACUCGUGUAUAAAGUAAAUCGGUCACAUGCACAGCUUAUUUUAAGUGUAAGACCUAAAGAUUAAUGGGCAAAAGAAACUCAUUGAAAAUGUGCAUAUAUUACAUUUCAGUAAAAUAACAUUUUUCUGCUCACAACUGCGCCUUUAUAUGUAUAACUAGAAAGUAAAAGGCGUGAUAAUUUCCAUUUAA